This 279-nucleotide ribosomal RNA is filed under the name uncultured bacterium. Its description in RNAcentral is "partial 16S ribosomal RNA". It matches the Rfam family "Bacterial small subunit ribosomal RNA", at positions 506 to 784 of the family's 1533-position model. The record is from RNAcentral.
UGCCAGCCGCCGCGGUAAUACGAAGGGACCUAGCGUAGUUCGGAAUUACUGGGCUUAAAGAGUUCGUAGGUGGUUGAAAAAGUUGGAUGUGAAAGCCCUGGGCUCAACCUAGGAACUGCAUCCAAAACUAGCUCACUAGAGUACGAUAGAGGGAGGUAGAAUUCAUAGUGUAGCGGUGGAAUGCGUAGAUAUUAUGAAGAAUACCAGUGGCGAAGGCGGCCUCCUGGAUCUGUACUGACACUGAGGUGCGAAAGCGUGGGUAGCGAACAGGAUUAGAUA